This 19-nucleotide non-coding RNA is filed under the name Arabidopsis thaliana (thale cress). The record is from RNAcentral. Lineage: Eukaryota; Viridiplantae; Streptophyta; Magnoliopsida; Brassicales; Brassicaceae.
UAUAUAUGUUGAUGUUCCA